GAUGAACGCUGGCGGCGUGCCUAAUACAUGCAAGUCGAGCGGUAAGGCCUCUUCGGAGGUACACGAGCGGCGGACGGCUGAGUAACUCGUAGGAACGUGCCCCAAACUGAGGGAUAAGCACCAGAAAUGGUGUCUAAUACCGCAUGUGAUCUUCGGAUUAAAGCUUCGGCGGUUUGGGAACGGCCUGCGUAUGAUUAGCUAGUUGGUGAGGUAAUGGCUCACCAAGGCGACGAUCAUUAGCUGGUCUGAGAGGAUGAUCAGCCAGACUGGGACUGAGACACGGCCCAGACUCCUACGGGAGGCAGCAGUAGGGAAUUUUCCACAAUGGGCGAAAGCCUGAUGGAGCAACGCCGCGUGCAGGAUGAAUGCCUUCGGGUUGUAAACUGCUUUUAUAUGUGACGAUUAUGACGGUAGCAUAUGAAUAAGGAUCGGCUAACUCCGUGCCAGCCGCCGCCGUAA
Molecule: ribosomal RNA, 459 nt
Filed under: uncultured bacterium
Lineage: Bacteria
Description: partial 16S ribosomal RNA
Rfam family: Bacterial small subunit ribosomal RNA
Source: RNAcentral